GACGAACGCUGGCGGCGUGCCUAAUACAUGCAAGUAGAACGCUGAAGAGAGGAGCUUACUCUUCUUGGAUGAGUUGCGAACGGGUGAGUAACGCGUAGGUAACCUGCCUUGUAGCGGGGGAUAACUAUUGGAAACGAUAGCUAAUACCGCAUAACAAUGGAUGACACAUGUCAUUUAUUUGAAAGGGGCAAUUGCUCCACUACAAGAUGGACCUGCGUUGUAUUAGCUAGUAGGUGAGGUAAUGGCUCACCUAGGCGACGAUACAUAGCCGACCUGAGAGGGUGAUCGGCCACACUGGGACUGAGACACGGCCCAGACUCCUACGGGAGGCAGCAGUAGGGAAUCUUCGGCAAUGGGGGCAACCCUGACCGAGCAACGCCGCGUGAGUAAAGAAGGUUUUCGGAUCGUAAAGCUCUGUUGUAAGUCAAGAACGGGUGUGAGAGUGGAAAGUUCACACUGUGACGGUAGCUUACCAGAAAGGGACGGCUAACUACGUG
RNAcentral lists this ribosomal RNA (497 nucleotides) under uncultured bacterium. RNAcentral describes it as "partial 16S ribosomal RNA". It matches the Rfam family "Bacterial small subunit ribosomal RNA", at positions 28 to 507 of the family's 1533-position model. The record is from RNAcentral.